Molecule: ribosomal RNA, 465 nt
Filed under: uncultured bacterium
Lineage: Bacteria
Description: partial 16S ribosomal RNA
Rfam family: Bacterial small subunit ribosomal RNA
Source: RNAcentral
CCUACGGGUGGCAGCAGUAGGGAAUCUUCCACAAUGGGCGCAAGCCUGAUCGAGCAAUUCCGCGUGUGUGAAGAAGGUCUUCGGGUCGUAAAACCCUGUUGUAGGAGAAGAAAGUGCGUUAGCGUAACUUUUCACGUUUCGACGGUAUCUAACCAGUAAGCACCGGCUAACUACGUGCCAGCAGCCGCGGUAAUACGUAGGUGGCGAGCGUUAUCCGGAUUUAUUGGGCGUAAAGGGAAUGCAGGCGGUCUUGUAAGUCUGAUGUGAAAUCCUUCGGCUUAACCUGGGUACCGCAUUGGAGACUGGGUGACUUGAGUGCAGCAGAGGAGAGUGGAACUCCACGUGUAGCGGUGAAAUGCGUAGAUAUAUGGAAGAACACCAGUGGCGAAGGCGGCCCUCUGGUCUGCAACUGACGCUGAGGUUCGAAAGCGUGGGUAGCAAACAGGAUUAGAUACCCCUGUAGUC